GCGUUGAAGCGAGAGGUUGCCGUAUUUAUAUGGGUUUUUUCGUGGAGUAUGUCCGAUUUUAAACCGGGCGACAA
Molecule: non-coding RNA, 74 nt
Filed under: fish gut metagenome
Description: S10-Clostridia ribosomal protein leader
Rfam family: S10-Clostridia ribosomal protein leader
Source: RNAcentral